AUUGAACGCUGGCGGCAGGCCUAACACAUGCAAGUCGAGCGGAUGAAGGGAGCUUGCUCCUGGAUUCAGCGGCGGACGGGUGAGUAAUGCCUAGGAAUCUGCCUGGUAGUGGGGGAUAACGUCCGGAAACGGGCGCUAAUACCGCAUACGUCCUGAGGGAGAAAGUGGGGGAUCUUCGGACCUCACGCUAUCAGAUGAGCCUAGGUCGGAUUAGCUAGUUGGUGGGGUAAAGGCCUACCAAGGCGACGAUCCGUAACUGGUCUGAGAGGAUGAUCAGUCACACUGGAACUGAGACACGGUCCAGACUCCUGCGGGAGGCAGCAGUGGGGAAUAUUGGACAAUGGGCGAAAGCCUGAUCCAGCCAUGCCGCGUGUGUGAAGAAGGUCUUCGGAUUGUAAAGCACUUUAAGUCGGGAGGAAGGGCAGUAAGUUAAUACCUUGCUGUUUUGACGUUACCAACAGAAUAAGCACCGGCUAACUUCGUG
This 484-nucleotide ribosomal RNA is filed under the name uncultured bacterium. Its description in RNAcentral is "partial 16S ribosomal RNA". It matches the Rfam family "Bacterial small subunit ribosomal RNA", at positions 30 to 507 of the family's 1533-position model. The record is from RNAcentral.